RNAcentral lists this long non-coding RNA (719 nucleotides) under Homo sapiens (human). RNAcentral's name for it is "long non-coding RNA NONHSAT172745.1". Lineage: Eukaryota; Metazoa; Chordata; Mammalia; Primates; Hominidae. The record is from RNAcentral.
CCGCGAGCUGCCUGUCUCGUCGUGGCAGGUCACCGAGCCGUCAAGCAAGAAUCUGUGGGAGCAGAUCUGCAAGGAGUAUGAAGCUGAGCAGCCUCCCUUUCCAGAAGGAUAUAAAGUCAAACAGGAGCCUGUGAUUACGGUUCUCCCAAAGAAUAUUUGGAAACUUUCAUCUUUCCUGUUCUGCUUCCCGGAAUGGCUAGCCUGCUUCACCAAGCGAAGAAAGAAAAAUGUUUUGAGAGGAAAAGAACCAAAUUCAUUGCCUGUGAUUUUCUGACUGAGUGGUUAUACAACCAAAAUCCAAAGAGGGCAGGGGAGCCAUUCACAGAAUUUUUCUCCAUUCCAUUUGUGGAGGAGCGGCUAAAGCAACACCCACGGCCGCCAAUCCCACUCUCGCUCCUGCUGACAGAAGAGGAAGCAGCCCUCUACAUUCAAUCCUUCUGGAGAGCCUGUGUGGUUCGCUGUGAUCCUGAGAUUCAAGAACUGCGUCAGUGGCAGAAGAAACUUCGCGAGGCCAAGCACAUUCACCAGCAAGUCAAAAUUUUCUGGGCCAAGCAAGAACAAAAAGUGAAAUGCAAAAUGGAGGACGAUGCAGUACCUGCAGCCAAGAUGAAAAUUCCAUCAUCUUAACCAUAGCUAAGACUAUGCAACAGUCAGCCGGGGGAAGAUAAAGGUACAUUAUAAAACACACAUUAAUGCAUUUAAUAAAUAUAUAUUAUCUA